CAGUCGCCGCGGUAACACGUAGGUGGCAAGCGUUGUCCGGAAUUAUUGGGCGUAAAGGGUGCGUAGGCGGUCGGGUAAGUCGGAUGUGAAAUCCUGGGGCUCAACCUCAGAACUGCAUUCGAUACUGCUUGGCUAGAGGACUGGAGAGGAGACUGGAAUUCACGGUGUAGCAGUGAAGUGCGUAGAUAUCGUGAGGAAGACCAGCGGCGAAGGCGGGUCUCUGGACAGUUCCUGACGCUGAUGCACGAAAGCUAGGGGAGCGAACAGGAUUAGAUACCCCAGUAGUCCCUGUCUCUUAUAC
Molecule: ribosomal RNA, 301 nt
Filed under: uncultured bacterium
Lineage: Bacteria
Description: partial 16S ribosomal RNA
Rfam family: Bacterial small subunit ribosomal RNA
Source: RNAcentral